This 478-nucleotide ribosomal RNA is filed under the name uncultured bacterium. RNAcentral's name for it is "partial 16S ribosomal RNA". It matches the Rfam family "Bacterial small subunit ribosomal RNA", at positions 28 to 523 of the family's 1533-position model. The record is from RNAcentral.
GACGAACGCUGGCGGCGUGCUUAACACAUGCAAGUCGAACGGUAAGGCCCUUCGGGGUACACGAGUGGCGAACGGGUGAGUAACACGAGGGUGAUCUGCCCUGCACUUCGGGAUAAGCCUGGGAAACUGGGUCUAAUACCGGAUAGGACCACUGCCUGCAUGGGUGGUGGUGGAAAGCUUUUGCGGUGUGGGAUGGGCCCGCGGCCUAUCAGCUUGUUGGUGGGGUGAUGGCCUACCAAGGCGACGACGGGUAGCCGGCCUGAGAGGGUGACCGGCCACACUGGGACUGAGCUACGGCCCGGACUCCUACGGGAGGCAGCAGUGGGGAAUAUUGCACAAUGGGCGCAAGCCUGAUGCAGCGACGCCGCGUGAGGGAUGACGGCCUUCGGGUUGUAAACCUCUUUCAGCAUCGACGAAGCGAAAGGGACGGUAGGUGCAGAAGAAGGACCGGCCAACUACGUGCCAGCAGCCGCCGUAA